AAUCAACGCUGGCGGCGUGCCUAACACAUGCAAGUCGAACGAGAAAGUGGAGCAAUCCAUGAGUAAAGUGGCGCACGGGUGAGUAACACGUGACUAACCUACCCUUGAGUGGGGGAUAACCUAGGGAAACCUGGGCUAAUACCGCAUAAUACCUACGGGUCAAAGGAGCAAUUCGCUUUAGGAGGGGGUCGCGGCAGAUUAGUUAGUUGGCGGGGUAAUGGCCCACCAAGACGACGAUCUGAUCCGGCCUGAGAGGGCGCACGGACACACUGGAACUGAAACACGGUCCAGACUCCUACGGGAGGCAGCAGUGGGGAAUUUUGCGCAAUGGGGGAAACCCUGACGCAGCAACGCCGCGUGGAGGAUGAAGACCCUUGGGUCGUAAACUCCUUUCGAUCGGGACGAUAAUGACGGUACCGGAAGAAGAAGCCCCGGCUAACUUCGU
This 445-nucleotide ribosomal RNA is filed under the name uncultured bacterium. RNAcentral's name for it is "bacterial SSU rRNA". It matches the Rfam family "Bacterial small subunit ribosomal RNA", at positions 32 to 506 of the family's 1533-position model. The record is from RNAcentral.